This 528-nucleotide ribosomal RNA is filed under the name uncultured bacterium. RNAcentral's name for it is "bacterial SSU rRNA". It matches the Rfam family "Bacterial small subunit ribosomal RNA", at positions 777 to 1304 of the family's 1533-position model. The record is from RNAcentral.
AAUAGAUACCCUGGUAGUCCACGCAGUAAACGAUGCAGACUAGGCGUGGGGGGACUUGACCCCCUCCGUGCCGCAGCCAACGCGAGAAGUCUGCCGCCUGGGGAGUACGGCCGCAAGGCUAAAACUCAAAGAAAUUGACGGGGGCCCGCACAAGCGGCGGAGCGUGCGGUUUAAUUCGACGCAACGCGCAGAACCUUACCAGGGCUUGACAUGCUCCUGCAGAGCCGGGAAACCGGUUGGCCUUCGAGGGUGGAGCACAGGUGCUGCAUGGCUGUCGUCAGCUCGUGUCGUGAGAUGUUGGGUUAAGUCCCGCAACGAGCGCAACCCUUGUCCUAUGUUGCCAGCGGGUAAUGCCGGGGACGUCGUAGGAGACUGCCGGGGCCAACUCGGAGGAAGGUGGGGACGACGUCAAGUCAUCAUGCCCCUUAUGUCCAGGGCUGCAAACACGCUACAAUGGCCGGUACAAAGGGCUGCUACCUCGCGAGAGUGAGCGAAUCCCACAAAGCCGGUCUCAGUUCGGAUUGGAGU